Molecule: unclassified non-coding RNA, 371 nt
Filed under: soil metagenome
Description: partial contains 5.8S ribosomal RNA, internal transcribed spacer 2, and large subunit ribosomal RNA
Rfam family: 5.8S ribosomal RNA (bases 1-120)
Source: RNAcentral
GAUGAAGAACGUAGCGAAAUGCGAUAAGUAAUGUGAAUUGCAGAAUUCAGUGAAUCAUCGAAUCUUUGAACGCACAUUGCGCCCCCUGGAAUUCCGGGGGGCAUGCCUGUUCGAGCGUCUCAGGGACGAACCCUCGCGCGGGUGUACGCGCGGUCGUGGCUGCGGUGGCGUGCCCGAGGCGGCGGCCACCGCGCUGGAAUCCAUGGGCGGACGCCUGCCGCGUGGCCGAGCGUGAUAUGACGCAUUGGCGCUCGCACGCGGAGAGGCUGCCAGCCCUGGCCCGUCUGUCGGGCGGGGGAGAGCAAGACACGUGAACUCCUCGAAUCAGGUAGGGAAACCCGCUGAACUUAAGCAUAUCAAUAAGCGGAGGA